This 1889-nucleotide long non-coding RNA is filed under the name Salmo salar (Atlantic salmon). Its description in RNAcentral is "lncRNA (ENSSSAG00000083348.1)". The record is from RNAcentral. Lineage: Eukaryota; Metazoa; Chordata; Actinopteri; Salmoniformes; Salmonidae.
CUAAGGUUUGAUUAUAAACGUUGUUUGACUUGUAUGGAAAAGUUUAUUAGUAACGUUUGGGAUUCAUUUUGUAUGCAUUUUGAUGGAGGGAAAUUGGGUGGAUUAUUGACUGAAGUGCGCCAGCUAAACUGAGUUUUUAUGGAUAUAAAGAAGGACAUUAUCGAACAAAAGGACCAUUUCUGAUGUAACUGGGACCUUUUGGAGUGCCAACAGAAGAUGAUCAUCAAAGGUAAGGCAUUUAUUAUAUCGCUAUUUCUGACUUUUGUGUCGCACCUGCCUGGUUGAAAUAUGUUUUUCAUGUGUUUGUAUGCGGGGUGCUGUCCUCAGAUAAUCGCAUGGUUUGCUUUCGCCUUAAGGCCUUUUUGAAAUCUGACACAGCGGCUGGAUUAACAAGAAGUUAAGCUUUAUUUUGAUGUAUUACACUUGUGAUUUUAUGAAAGUUGAAUAUUUAUAAUACUGUAGUUUGAAUUUGGCGCUCUGCAAUUUCACCGGAUGUUGUCGAGGUGUCCCGCUAGCGGCACGCCUUUCCCAAAACAGGCCUAAAUACAUGGGUGAGUGUAAUGGGUAGAAGUGUGUGUGUGUGUGUGUGUGUGUGUGUGUGUGUGUGCAUCAAAAUAUUUUUACUUAGUUACUUUACACAACUGACUGUGAGAGCUGGUUGCUAACUCUCUCUCUCUCUCUCUGUGUUGUCUCUCUCUCUGUUCUCUCUCUCUCUCUGUUCUCUCUCUCUGUCUGUUCUCUCUCUCUGUCUGUUCUCUCUGUCUGUCUGUCUCUAACACACAGCCGUCAGUGGAAGCUGCUUAUGAGUGUUUUAUUAGAGCAAAACUCUGCCAAGAGUAACAGUCAAACUGCACAGAUAAUUAUGAACACUGUUUCAGCCUGACUCACAAUACACAAGCUACAGCAAGGAGUCCCACUGCAUUCCACACUGAAUCAAAACACAUAUCUCCUGGCCGUGGUGACUAUCCCUUGCUGGUCUGAACAGUAAGGGCAGAUGUAGGAUAUUUGGCCCCAGUUCUAUAAUAACAUACUAGUAGCUCUGUGUACUCCUUUUAGGGGGUUAGGAACCAACUUGCACCCCUGUCCUCUCUCAAAAGGGGAGUGCAGGAUAACCUUUCUCUCUCCAUCUCUCUCUCCAUCUCUCUCCCUUUCCCUCUCUUUUUCUUUCUUUCUUUCUUUCUUUCUUUCUUUCUUUCUUUCUUUCUUUCUUUCUUUCUUUCUUUCUUUCUUUCUUUCUUUCUUUCUUUCUUUCUUUCUUUCUUUCUUUCUUUCAUGGGUAGUGCAGAAGGCCUCUUUCCCUCUCCGCUAAUCAUACUUAAUGAUUCAAAUGGGCCUCAGACAUGCCUUUGAAAUAAAAUCUACUUACAGCGCACACAAACACACACACAGACACACACACACACACACACACACACACACACACACACACACACACACACACACACACACACACACACACACACACACACACACACACACACACACACACACACACAUUUGCCAGGGAGUACAGCGAGUGAUUGUUAGAAGUCAGACUGAGCAGAGGGAAGGAGAGAGGGAUGAAGAGAGAGGAGAGAGGGAUGUAACUGUAGAAGUGUGAUUUAGUCCGGAUGUUUCCGCUCCAUCAGCGGGGCUCUAACGACCACUCCUGGGGCCUCAGCUUGAAUCGCCUCUGACACAGCUGGUGAAAAGAUCUCCACAGACAUGAUUGGCUGGGAAGGCCCUUUCGUCCUGUGCUUCUUCCUUGGGAGGAAACAUCCUUUCUCAUUCUGAGGCAAUGCUUGAGGAAGAAAUGGUAAUACUUGAAUGUGAUGUGCAUUCCACACACACACACACACACACACACACACACACACACACACACACACACACACACACACACACACACA